GUAACUGGUUCACUUGCAAAUCUCUCCGUGCUCCUGCAUACGAGAGGACGCCUCCAUCCUUUCUUGCUAGCUUCUGGAAUGCAGACGUGCUCCAGAAAUGACUGUAUUCAAAUGAAGAUAGUAGGCACCAAGGCUGUGUAACACUUCUCAUCGUUCAUCUAACAUACAACACAAUGCACUACAAGCCUCCUAGUGAAGAUGUCUGCUGCAGGAGGGCAAUCAAGCUGAAACAGAUCUUCCAGAGAAGAUUUGGUACUUUGGUUUACAGUGGGCUGUGUAACAGCUCACAACCACAACAUCUGCUCCAUCGUUACUCCUUUCUAGGGGCCAAACAUAUUCAGCAAGCAAAUGGAAUGGUGGCUCAACCUGCAGCUCUGCCAGAACAGCCUCCAUCUCUCUCUCCAUCAAGGUCAUUUCUGGACUUUGAUGGGCACAGCCCAACUUCCACACUACAGUUCAGGCACUGCAGCAAUUUGCUCUGUUUGAACAAGG
This is a long non-coding RNA of Meleagris gallopavo (turkey), 492 nucleotides long. RefSeq lists it as uncharacterized. The record is from RefSeq and is a predicted model, not a curated record. Lineage: Eukaryota; Metazoa; Chordata; Aves; Galliformes; Phasianidae.